GUAGGCAUGGCCGCGCAGGCGCGCGGUGGAGGACGCGUCUCUCCAUGCCCCGCCCUGCCCCUCUCWGAAGCACGUGCGCUCGCGUCAUUUCCUGUUAUUCUUUUCUCUCCCACUCCGGUGUUGUGGGUUUGCUGGGGACCGACUCUUGGGGCGUGUCUGCUUCCUCUUUUUUGUCAGACUUUAAUGCUGCUUGCCCAGUGCUGUGCAGACGGCCUUGAGAAGUUCCUGGGCUCAUUCGAGAGCCACAGAAUCAGCAGAUGUACAAUGUGCUGUGUGGACACUCAGAAGGGUUGCCUGGCCCACUGUGAGGUGCAGGAUGGUGUCUCAAGGAAGGCUUGCUGAGGGAGGGUUUGAAAAUCAGGCAUUGCCUGGGCAGUAGGAAGGGGUAGGGCGAGACUGGAGGGUGGGCCAGGCCAGCGCUACGGGAGAACUGCAUUGAGGAGUUUGGAUCUUGUCCUGAAGGUCAUGAAGUAUUUUCAUGAUGGUGGUGUGCCAGUCAGCAGUCACUGUUGCUCUGGAAGUCUCUUGGAAAGKAGCGGGGAGAUGGGAGAGUAGGUGAGGCCAGUUAGAGACACUUGAAAUGAUGUGGGAAAGGCCAGAACGAAACCACAGCUGAAGGGCAGUGAGGAGGACAUGGCUUCCAGGGAGACGAAGGGACUUAGACCAAGCUGGGCAGAGGUGUCCAGCUCAAUGAAGCCAGUAGGUGACCCAUUUACUAAGGGAGCAGAUCCAGGGAGACCAGGUUUGGGGAAUGGGAGGAGAGUUUGGUUUGGGGCAUAGGGAGGUUGAAAUGCAGAUGAAAACAGGUAUCAAGUAAUGAGGGGUCUUAAAGGCUGUGGCAAGGGGUUUAUCUUCAGAUUUCUCCUAAGAAACAUGGGAGUUAUGAAAGACAAGCAGCCGGAUAAUUUUAGAAUGAUUACGCUGGCUUCAGGGUAGGCUGGCACGGUGCACCAGGCCUGAGAAGGCAGUGAUCUAGAGCAGUCCCCUAGGUAUGGAGAGCAAGUUGUGUAGAUCAGGCUUCAGCAGGAGAUUCAUGUGAACCAGAGGGGCAGGUAGAGAAWAUCCACAGUGACAUUUGGCUGUCUAGUUUGACAGCUGAAUGGAUAUUAUUGCCUAUCUGCUGAAGUCAGUUAACAGGGAGCAGAAGAAAAAUAAUAUUUAAUUGAGGAUAAUAAUAGCAACUAAUACUUAUAUAGCUCUUGUUUUGUAUCAUAUUUUUAAUUUCUUAUUUUAGUUCUCACAACAAUCCUAUAAGGCUAUCAUUAUCCUCUUCAUUUUUCAGAUGAGGACAUUAAAGAGCAAUUAAGCAAUUGCUUGAGGUUACACAGMAAGCCCAUGGUGG
This 1342-nucleotide long non-coding RNA is filed under the name Urocitellus parryii (Arctic ground squirrel). RNAcentral's name for it is "lncRNA (ENSUPAG00010001111.1)". Lineage: Eukaryota; Metazoa; Chordata; Mammalia; Rodentia; Sciuridae. The record is from RNAcentral.